UUGCUCAUUCAUUUAACAGCUGUACCAACGAGGAAGAUUUGAUUAAUUGUACAAUUAAUUCUACAAUUAAACAAAUUGUAGCACUUAGAUUGUACUUGUAACGCCACUUAUCUAUAGCAAAUUGUAAAUUGGCUUAUUUGAUGAAAUUGGCGUCAGCUACAUGACAUGUAUUGUAAUGUAAUAUGUCUGACCAAACCCAAGCAUUUUUUAAAAACAAUAUCAAAUAAAAGAUCAUUAACAAUAGUCCCACAAUCUGAAUCUCUGACUGAGUUUUACAACUUUUUUGAUUGUCUAUUUCCUUUCUUAUUUUAAAAUUCCAUGCUGAUGUUCUUUUUUUGUGACUUUGCUUUUUAGAUUAGCCUGCUCUGAGCAGGCUAAUCUUUGAGUUUUGAGUUGUCCUUGUCCAAUUAUAGUAGUACUUGUACCCCAUUUGUGACAAGACUUUGUAUAUUCAUCAGAGGAAAAUGUUACUGAUUAUAAUUAUUUGAGAAAGUAAUCAAACAGUAAUGUAAAUAGUAAUUAAAAUAGUUACUAAUUAAAAAUAUUCUUAGUAAUAUAACAAUUACUAACAAAAGUCAUUAAUGGACCAAUAAUUACGAUCCAAUAAUUAUGAUCCAAUAAUGUAAUAAAUAUUACUCUGCAGCUCCACAAACCUCUCCUCUGAGAACCCGUUCAAUUUGUACCCGAGUUGUUUAUAUUCUCUGCACCAAUCAGCGCUGCGCUUGAGCGCAUGCGCGCAUUUUUUUAAAAUUUCAAACUGUCCAAUCAGAGAAGAGGAGGCGUGACCACCCGGCAGUUUCAAAACCGGAUGCGCGGUUUCAGUUGUUAUGGAGCUAACGUUACUUUAACCUGCCAAACAAACACAAAUAGUCGAUUUAUAACAAACAAUCUAUCCUAGAAAAUAGAGCUGUUGUCUGAUAGUCAUGGAGGAAAAAGAAAUCGUUACGAAGGUCUCCCGAAAAGAGUUGCGUAAGCAAAAGUUGAUGGAAUACUUGUCAGCAAAAGGAAAGUGGAAACCGCCCAACCCAAAGCCAUACCUACGCGACGACUGUCUGGUUAAGAAGCCCGUGCCGUCUGCACUGGAGGUGGUUUCGGACAAAGAGAACAAGGUUCCAGCUGACAGAUUCACACAUGAGAGCACAAAAAUUCAAACUCAAAAAAGAUUUAGUGACUCGCGCAAAGUGAGCGUAUCGGCCAACAAUCUGACUGGACGGCACGGUGCCAAACAACCGUCUACAACCGGUAGCUCUGCCCAACGUUGUCAAAAUCAUCUGCCGACAAGAACGGCGACAGCUUUGUCCUCUGGAUCCAACCCGACUGCAGCGAGUCAUCUCCAGAAGCGCCCAAACACGGGGGCAAAGAACGGGCACCCAAUACCGUCUUCCGGCAGAGCCUCUUCAAAUGCAUCUGGUGCAGCUGCAACCAAAUCAAACAGCAGACUCAUCAGUAGCUCGAAGGCUUCGUGGCCUCGUCCAAUGACGGCGGUCAGUGUCAGGAUGAGUCUCGGCCCCAUGGUCAAAACAAAAACGGGACUAGUUCCUGCGGCGAUUCAGCCCAGUGACGUUCAAAGGCACAGAAACUUUACGCACACCUCGGCCACAGCGGCCGAUACAACCACCAAAAAGAUGCAAUCCAGCACGCGGGCGUCCGUCUCUGUGUCCCAGAAGUUCACCGUGACUCAGAGCAAACCGCUACGAACCACUUCCCUUAACAAUAACCAGGGGGCAAAAGUUAAAGUUCAAAAUCAGGGCAAAUGCAACUCUAAACCACUGCUGAGUAGAGCGUCUCGGCCCCCGUCUAAGAUUCCACCAUCAAGUGGUCCGAGGUCCACGGCGGCCCCGUUGAAGCCACAAGGCGGCGGGGCGGCGGCAGCCGGUCGGCCCGCAGGAAGGUCCACAACGCACACAUCUGCCAUUGCGGGGCAGAAAAAGAGGCAACCAAGCCAGGUCGCCCCCCAAACAUCGUCCCGGCCAGCGAGCGGGUGCGGUUCCAGAGCGGCCGGCG
Gasterosteus aculeatus (three-spined stickleback) is the source of this 2004-nucleotide long non-coding RNA. NCBI's taxonomy places the organism in Eukaryota, Metazoa, Chordata, Actinopteri, Perciformes, Gasterosteidae. The record is from Ensembl.